Molecule: ribosomal RNA, 360 nt
Filed under: Neogloboquadrina pachyderma
Lineage: Eukaryota; Foraminifera; Rotaliida; Globorotaliidae
Description: partial 18S ribosomal RNA
Rfam family: Eukaryotic small subunit ribosomal RNA
Source: RNAcentral
AGCAUGUGGUUUAAUUUGACUCAACGCGGGAAAUCUUACCGGGUCCGGACACACUGAGGAUUGACAGGCAAUAUCUCAUGGUUAUUAACCCGGUUAUUACAUUUUGUUUAAUCGGUUAUUAAGCAUCGAGUGUUAAAUAUGCUAGUCCUUUCAUGAUUAUGUGAUAGGUGGUGCAUGGCCGUUCUUAGUUCGUGGAGUGAUCUGUCUGCUUAAUUGCGUUUCACUAAGGGCCCAUAAAUUCAAGGUAUGUUAGCUAUCGUCGCUCUAUGGACCCCUUAUACUCGAUUUCGCUUUAAUUAGCGUUAUUUGUUUAAUAAGCGCGCGUCUUUAUUUAAAGAGUUUAAGACACUGCGCAUGCUG